UGGGGAAUAUUGGACAAUGGGCGAAAGCCUGAUCCAGCCAUGCCGCGUGUGUGAAGAAGGUCUUCGGAUUGUAAAGCACUUUAAGUUGGGAGGAAUGGCAGUAAGCGAAUACCUUGCUGUUUUGACGUUACCGACAGAAUAAGCACCGGCUAACUCUGUGCCAGCAGCCGCGGUAAUACAGAGGGUGCAAGCGUUAAUCGGAAUUACUGGGCGUAAAGCGCGCGUAGGUGGUUCGUUAAGUUGAAUGUGAAAGCCCCGGGCUCAACCUGGGAACUGCAUCCAAAACUGGCGGGCUAGAGUAGGGCAGAGGGUGGUGGAAUUUCCUGUGUAGCGGUGAAAUGCGUAGAUAUAGGAAGGAACACCAGUGGCGAAGGCGACCACCUGGGCUCAUACUGACACUGAGGUGCGAAAGCGUGGGGAGCAAACAGG
RNAcentral lists this ribosomal RNA (429 nucleotides) under Pseudomonadota bacterium. RNAcentral describes it as "Proteobacteria bacterium partial 16S ribosomal RNA". It matches the Rfam family "Bacterial small subunit ribosomal RNA", at positions 355 to 776 of the family's 1533-position model. Lineage: Bacteria; Pseudomonadati; Pseudomonadota. The record is from RNAcentral.